GCCAGGGCCUGGGACUACCAGGCCUGCACCGAGAUCAACCUGACCUUCGCCAGCAACAAUGUGACCGAUAUGUUCCCGGACCUGCCCUUCACUGACGAGCUCCGCCAGCGAUCUCAGAGCCGCCAGCAACAUCAUCUUCUCCAACGGGAACCUGGACCCCUGGGCAGGGGGCGGGAUUCGGAGGAACCUGAGUGCCUCAGUCAUCGCCGUCACCAUCCAGGGGGGAGCGCACCACCUCGACCUCAGAGCCUCCCACCCAGAAGAUCCUGCUUCCGUGGUUGAGGCGCGGAAGCUGGAGGCCACCAUCAUCGGCGAGUGGGUAAAGGCAGCCAGGCGUGAGCAGCAGCCAGCUCUGCGUGGGGGGCCCAGACUCAGCCUCUGAGCACAGGACUGGAGGGGUCUCAAGGCUCCUCAUGGAGUGGGGGCUUCACUCAAGCAGCUGGCGGCAGAGGGAAGGGGCUGAAUAAACGCCUGGAGGCCUGGC
RNAcentral lists this long non-coding RNA (484 nucleotides) under Homo sapiens (human). RNAcentral describes it as "HSALNT0157039". The record is from RNAcentral. Lineage: Eukaryota; Metazoa; Chordata; Mammalia; Primates; Hominidae.